This is an unclassified non-coding RNA of Fukomys damarensis (Damara mole-rat), 301 nucleotides long. Its record names the gene 7SK. It matches the Rfam family "7SK RNA". Rfam says of the family: 7SK was discovered as an abundant small nuclear RNA in the mid-70s but a possible function has only recently been suggested. Two independent studies have found that 7SK RNA binds the CDK9/cyclin T complex (known as elongation factor P-TEFb). The record is from Ensembl. Lineage: Eukaryota; Metazoa; Chordata; Mammalia; Rodentia; Bathyergidae.
GGGUAUAAAUGUGAUCUCCUUGUGACGUCUGGCCCCCUACUGAUUGCCAGGGCUGAUUUGGCUGAUCUGGCCGGCUAGGAGACUGUCUCCUUCCUCCCUCAUUGCUCCAUGUGUGUCCCUCCUAAAGCUGUGCACUUGGUGGAAGAAGACAAGCACCCCCGUAGAGGAGGACCAUUUCCUGGUCGAGAGUAUGGGGGUAGCUGCACUCCCCGUCUAGAACCUCCAAACAAGCUCUCAAGGAUGAAGGAGAUAAUGUGCACAGGCAGCAUUUUGUGGUUCUUGAGGAAAGGCACUACAUAAA